RNAcentral lists this ribosomal RNA (253 nucleotides) under uncultured bacterium. RNAcentral's name for it is "partial 16S ribosomal RNA". It matches the Rfam family "Bacterial small subunit ribosomal RNA", at positions 524 to 776 of the family's 1533-position model. The record is from RNAcentral.
UACGUAGGGGGCAAGCGUUGUCCGGAUUUAUUGGGCGUAAAGAGCGUGUAGGCGGCCUGAAAGGUCAGCUGUGAAAACUCGAGGCUCAACCUCGAGACGUCGGUUGAAACCAUCUGGCUAGAGUCCGGAAGAGGAGACUGGAAUUCCUGGUGUAGCGGUGAAAUGCGCAGAUAUCAGGAGGAACACCGGUGGCGAAGGCGGGUCUCUGGGCCGAAAUUGACGCUGAGGAGCGAAAGCGUGGGGAGCGAACAGG